GACGAACGCUGGCGGCGUGCCUAAUACAUGCAAGUCGAACGCUUCUUUCCUCCCGAGUGCCUGCACUCAAUUGGAAAGAGGAGUGGCGGACGGGUGAGUAACACGUGGGUAACCUACCCAUCAGAGGGGGAUAACACUUGGAAACAGGUGCUAAUACCGCAUAACAGUUUAUGCCGCAUGGCAUAAGAGUGAAAGGCGCUUUCGGGUGUCGUUGAUGGAUGGACCCGCGGUGCAUUAGCUAGUUGGUGAGGUAACGGCUCACCAAGGCCACGAUGCAUAGCCGACCUGAGAGGGUGAUCGGCCACACUGGGACUGAGACACGGCCCAGACUCCUACGGGAGGCAGCAGUAGGGAAUCUUCGGCAAUGGACGAAAGUCUGACCGAGCAACGCCGCGUGAGUGAAGAAGGUUUUCGGAUCGUAAAACUCUGUUGUUAGAGAAGAACAAGGACGUUAGUAACUGAACGUCCCCUGACGGUAUCUAACCAGAAAGCCACGGCUAACUACGUG
RNAcentral lists this ribosomal RNA (508 nucleotides) under uncultured bacterium. RNAcentral describes it as "partial 16S ribosomal RNA". It matches the Rfam family "Bacterial small subunit ribosomal RNA", at positions 28 to 507 of the family's 1533-position model. The record is from RNAcentral.